Molecule: ribosomal RNA, 1738 nt
Filed under: Pentacoelum sinensis
Lineage: Eukaryota; Metazoa; Platyhelminthes; Tricladida; Bdellouridae
Description: SSU rRNA
Rfam family: Eukaryotic small subunit ribosomal RNA
Source: RNAcentral
AUGCCCUAAAUUCGAGAUUAAGCCAUGCAUGCCUAAGUUCAAGUCCUUGAACGACGAAACCGUAAACGGCUCAUUAUAACAGCCAUUAUUUAAGAGCGCUAAAUUUCUACAGGAUAACUGUGGCAAUUCUACAGCUAAUACUUUUAAUCCACGGGUAUCUCACGAUGCCUGGUAGUUAACAGCUAAGACCAGCUCACCCUCGGGUGAUUUCUAGACGAAUCUAGUUAACUUGCUUGAUCGUAUGGGUUUAUUCCGACGACAACGCUCUAUAAGUGGCUGACCUAUCAACUUACGCUGGUAGGAUAAACGCCUACCAUUGUUAUAACGGGUAACGGGGAAUCAGGGUUCGAUUCCGGAGAGGGAGCCUGAGAAACGGCUACCACAUCCACGGAUGGCAGCAGGCGCGAAACAUGCCCAAUGCUCGACGAGCGAGGCUGUAAAGAUAAAUAAGAAUGUGUACCCUUCUGGGUAUCACAAUUCCAAUGAGAAUAUUGUAAAAACUCUAUCGAGUAACUAUUGGAGGGCAAGUCUGGUGCCAGCAGCCGCGGUAAUUCCAGCUCCAAAAGCGUAUAUUAAAUUUGUUGCAGUUAAAAAGCUCGUAGUCGUAAUUGAGGAUGAGUUUUGGUAAUAGUUUACGCUGUUGCCUAUGACUCUCCUUCUUCUGACCAGUACAUUUGUAAUGAUCUUGACAGGUUGUUGCUGAUGACGGUCAAUUUUACUUUGAAUAAAUUAGAGUGCUUAAAGCAGGCUUAUGCCUGAAUAUUUGUGCAUGGAAUAAUAGAAUAGGACUUUGGUUCUAUUUUGUUGGUUUUCGGAACUGAAGUAAUGAUUGAAAGAAACUGCCGGGGGCAUACGUAUGCUGAAAGGAGAGGUGAAAUUCAAUAAUCUUCAKCAGACGACCUACAGCGAAAGCAUUUGCCCAGAAUGUUUUCAUUGAUCAAGAACGAAAGUCAGAGGAUCGAAGACGAUCAGAUACCGUCCUAGUUCUGACCAUAAACGAUGCCAACUAACAGCUCAUUGGGUAUUUACAAUGACUCUGUGAGAAGUUACCGGGAAACCAAAGUCUUUGGGUUCCGGGGGAAGUAUGGUUGCAAAGCUGAAACUUAAAGGAAUUGACGGAAGGGCACCACCAGGAGUGGAGCCUGCGGCUUAAUUUGACUCAACACGGGAAAACUCACCCGGUCCGGACACUGUUUGGAUUAACAGAUUGACAGCUCUUUUUUAAUUCAGUGGGUGGUGGUGCAUGGCCGUUCUUAGUUGGUGGAGUGAUUUGUCUGGUUAAUUCCGAUAACGAACGAGACUCUAAUCUGCUAAAUAGUACACAUGUAAAUUUUGCAUGGUGAUACUUCUUAGAGAGAUCAAUAGCGUUUAGCUAAAUGAGAUGGAGCAAUAACAGGUCUGUGAUGCCCUUAGAUGUCCGGGGCCGCACGCGCGCUACAAUGGCGGGAGCAAUAAGUAUUUUUCCUGGCUCGAAAGAGUUGGGUAACCUUUAAAUCCCCGUCGUAUCAGGAAUAGUGGUUUGGAAUUUUUCCACUUGAACGAGGAAUUCCUAGUAGGUGCAAGUCAUUAACUUGCGCCGACUAUGUCCCUGCCCUUUGUACACACCGCCCGUCGCUACUACCGAUGAACGGUUUAGUAAGAUUGUUGGAUCUCUUUCUAUGGAAGGCAACGACCGUGGUCUAGGAGAAGACACUCAAACUUGAUCGCUUAGAGGAAGAAAAAAGUUCGAAACAGGCCC